GAUGAACGCUGGCGGCGUGCCUAAUACAUGCAAGUCGAGCGAACGGACGAGAAGCUUGCUUCUCUGAUGUUAGCGGCGGACGGGUGAGUAACACGUGGAUAACCUACCUAUAAGACUGGGAUAACUUCGGGAAACCGGAGCUAAUACCGGAUAAUAUUUUGAACCGCAUGGUUCAAAAGUGAAAGACGGUCUUGCUGUCACUUAUAGAUGGAUCCGCGCUGCAUUAGCUAGUUGGUAAGGUAACGGCUUACCAAGGCAACGAUGCAUAGCCGACCUGAGAGGGUGAUCGGCCACACUGGGACUGAGACACGGUCCAGACUCCUACGGGAGGCAGCAGUAGGGAAUCUUCCGCAAUGGGCGAUAGCCUGACGGAGCAACGCCGCGUGAGUGAUGAAGGUCUUCGGAUCGUAAAACUCUGUUAUUAGGGAAGAACAUAUGUGUAAGUAACUGUGCACAUCUUGACGGUACCUAAUCAGAAAGCCACGGCUAACUACGUG
This 497-nucleotide ribosomal RNA is filed under the name uncultured bacterium. RNAcentral's name for it is "partial 16S ribosomal RNA". It matches the Rfam family "Bacterial small subunit ribosomal RNA", at positions 28 to 507 of the family's 1533-position model. The record is from RNAcentral.